UAGUCUACGCCGUAAACGAUGGAUACUAGUUGUUUGGCCUUCGGGCUGAGUGACUAAGCGAAAGUGAUAAGUAUCCCACCUGGGGAGUACGUUCGCAAGAAUGAAACUCAAAGGAAUUGACGGGGGCCCGCACAAGCGGUGGAGCAUGUGGUUUAAUUCGAUGAUACGCGAGGAACCUUACCAGGGCUUAAAUGUAGUCUGACAGCUUUAGAGAUAGAGUUUUCUUCGGACAGAUUACAAGGUGCUGCAUGGUUGUCGUCAGCUCGUGCCGUGAGGUGUCAGGUUAAGUCCUAUAACGAGCGCAACCCCUGUGGUUAGUUGCCAGCGAGUAAUGUCGGGAACUCUAGCCAGACUGCCGGUGCAAACCGUGAGGAGGGUGGGGAGUGACGUCAAAUCAUCACGGCCCUUACGUCCUGGGCCACAAACGUGCUACAAUGGGAGUUACAGUGGGCAGCAACGUCGCGAGGCGAAGCUAAUCCCUAAAAGCUCUCUCAGUUCGGAUAGGACU
RNAcentral lists this ribosomal RNA (508 nucleotides) under uncultured bacterium. RNAcentral's name for it is "bacterial SSU rRNA". It matches the Rfam family "Bacterial small subunit ribosomal RNA", at positions 791 to 1304 of the family's 1533-position model. The record is from RNAcentral.